AUGAACGCUGGCGGCGUGCUUAACACAUGCAAGUCGAACGGAAAGGCUCCUGCUUGCAGGGGUACUCGAGUGGCGAACGGGUGAGUAACACGUGGGUGAUCUGCCCUGCACUUCGGGAUAAGCCUGGGAAACUGGGUCUAAUACCGGAUAGGACGAUGGUUUGGAUGCCAUUGUGGAAAGUUUUUUCGGUGUGGGAUGAGCUCGCGGCCUAUCAGCUUGUUGGUGGGGUAAUGGCCUACCAAGGCGUCGACGGGUAGCCGGCCUGAGAGGGUGUACGGCCACAUUGGGACUGAGAUACGGCCCAGACUCCUACGGGAGGCAGCAGUGGGGAAUAUUGCACAAUGGGCGCAAGCCUGAUGCAGCGACGCCGCGUGGGGGAUGACGGCCUUCGGGUGGUAAACUCCUUUCGCUAGGGACGAAGCGCAAGUGACGGUACCUGGAGAAGAAGCACCGGCUAACUACGU
This 464-nucleotide ribosomal RNA is filed under the name uncultured bacterium. RNAcentral's name for it is "partial 16S ribosomal RNA". It matches the Rfam family "Bacterial small subunit ribosomal RNA", at positions 29 to 506 of the family's 1533-position model. The record is from RNAcentral.